GAUGAAGAACGUAGCGAAAUGCGAUAAGUAAUGUGAAUUGCAGAAUUCAGUGAAUCAUCGAAUCUUUGAACGCACAUUGCGCCCGCCAGUAUUCUGGCGGGCAUGCCUGUCCGAGCGUCAUUUCAACCAUCAAGCCCCGGGCUUGUGUUGGGGACCUGCGUCCGACGCAGGCCCUGAAAACCAGUGGCGGGCUCGCUGUCCACACCGAGCGUAGUAACUAACCUCGCUAUGGAGUGGCGCGGGCGCCUGCCGUAAAACCCCCAAUUUCACAAGGUUGACCUCGGAUCAGGUAGGAAUACCCGCUGAACUUAAGCAUAUCAAUAAGCGGAGGA
This 332-nucleotide unclassified non-coding RNA is filed under the name soil metagenome. RNAcentral describes it as "partial contains 5.8S ribosomal RNA, internal transcribed spacer 2, and large subunit ribosomal RNA". The stretch from base 1 to 120 matches the Rfam family "5.8S ribosomal RNA", at positions 35 to 154 of the family's 154-position model. The record is from RNAcentral.